Molecule: ribosomal RNA, 489 nt
Filed under: uncultured bacterium
Lineage: Bacteria
Description: bacterial SSU rRNA
Rfam family: Bacterial small subunit ribosomal RNA
Source: RNAcentral
AGAGUUUGAUCCUGGCUCAGGACGAACGCUGGCGGCGUGCCUAAAACAUGCAAGUCGAACGGAACCUUCGGGUUUAGUGGCGAACGGCGGAGUAAUAUAUAAGUAACCUGCCUUGAAGAUCGGGAUAGCCGUGGGAAACUGCGAGUAAUACCGGAUGUGGUGUGCGAGAGACAUCUCUUGCACAUUAAAUGGUUUUUCGCUUCAAGAGGGGCUUAUAACACAUCAGCUAGUUGGUGGGGUAAUGGCCUACCAAGGCGACGACGUGUAGGGGGUCUGAGAGGAUGAUCCCCCCGAGUGGGACUGAGACACGGCCCACACACCUACGGGUGGCAGCAGUUGGGAAUCUUGCACAAUGGGGGAAACCCUGAUGCAGCGACGCCGCGUGGAGGAUGAAGGGUUUAGGCUCGUAACUCCUUUUUCAGGGAAAGACUUAGGACGGUACCUGAGAAUAAGCACCGGCUAACUACGUGCCAGCAGCCGCGGUAGACG